UGUUUUGAGAGUUUGAUCCUGGCUCAGGAUGAACGCUGGCGGCGUGGAUAAGGCAUGCAAGUCGAAUGGGUUUAGACCCAUGGCAAACGGGUUCGGAUAACAUAGGAAUCUACCUCAGAGUCGCGGAUAAUCUGGAGAAAUCCAGGCUAAUACGCGAUACGCUCUACGGAGUAAAGAUUUAUCGCUUUGAGAGGAGCCUGUGUCCUAUCAGCUUGUUGGUGAGGUAAUAGCUCACCAAGGCUAUGACGGGUAGGGGGUGUGAGAGCAUGACCCCCAACAUUGGAACUGAGACACUGUCCAAACACCUACGGGUGGCUGCAGUCGAGAAUAUUCCACAAUGGACGAAAGUCUGAUGGAGCGACGCCGCGUGCGGGAUGAAGGCCUUCGGGUUGUAAACCGCUUUUUUCAGGGAGCAAUUACGAUGAGAGUACCUGAAGAAUAAGAGGUUACUAACUCUGUGCCAGCAGUAGCGGUAAUACAGAGACCUCAAGCGUUAUCCGGAUUUAUUGGGCGUAAAGCGUAGGUAGGCGGGUAUGUUAGUCGGAUGUCAAAGACCGGGGCUCAACCCCGGGAAGGCAUACGAAACGGCAUAUCUAGAGAAUGUGAGAGAUCGGUGGAAUUCAUGGUGUAGUAGUGAAAUGCGUUGAUAUCAUGAGGAACACCCAAGGCGUAGGCAACCGAUUGGCACAUUUCUGACGCUGAGCUACGAAAGCGUGGGUAGCGAAUGGGAUUAGAUACCCCAGUAGUCCACGCCCUAAACGAUGCAUACUAGGUGCAGGGAGAAUCGACCCUUUCUGUGCCGUAGCUAACGCGUUAAGUAUGCCGCCUGGGAAGUACGAGCGCAAGCUUAAAACUCAAAGGAAUAGACGGGGAUCCGCACAAGUGGUGGAGCAUGUGGUUUAAUUCGACGGUAAGCGAGGCACCUCACCAAGGUUUGAAAUCUAGCUGCAGAGCCCAGAAAUGGGAUGUCCUUCGAGGGUGCUAGACCAGGUGCUGCAUGGUUGUCGUCAGCUCGUGUCGUAAGAUGUUCCGUUCAGUCGGGAAACGAGCGCAACCCCUAUGAAGUGUUACAUGUGUCACUUCAGACUGCCCCCUCAAAAGGGUAGAAUAGGGAAUAGAGAAUAAUGAAUGUAGUGUGAAUGCAAAUGCAAUCCCUAUAUUCUAUGUUCCAUAUUCAAUAUUCUAAGUUUUUGAGGGGGAGGAAGGCGGGGAUGACGUCAAAUCAGCAUGGCCCUUUGACACCUUGGGCUACACACGUGCUACAAUGGCCGAUAAUAAAGGGUUGCCAACCAGCAAUGGGGAGCCAAUCUCAAAAACUCGGUCUCAGUUCGGAUUGCAGGCUGCAACUCGCCUGCAUGAAGCUGGAAUCACUAGUAAUCGUGAAUCAGCCACGUCACGGUGAAUGCGUUCUCGGAUCUUGUACUCACCGCCCGUCACACCAAGAGAGCCGGCAAUACCAGAAGGCCCCGGGUUAAAUCGGGGACGACGGUAGGGUUGGUAAUAAGGGUGAAGUCGUAACAAGGCAUCCGUAGCGGAAGCUGUGGAUGAAUCACCUCCUUU
This 1560-nucleotide ribosomal RNA is filed under the name Candidatus Moraniibacteriota bacterium. RNAcentral's name for it is "bacterial SSU rRNA". It matches the Rfam family "Bacterial small subunit ribosomal RNA". Lineage: Bacteria; Candidatus Moraniibacteriota. The record is from RNAcentral.